UGCAGUCGAGCGAAUGGAUUAAGAGCUUGCUCUUAUGAAGUUAGCGGCGGACGGGUGAGUAACACGUGGGUAACCUACCCAUAAGACUGGGAUAACUCCGGGAAACCGGGGCUAAUACCGGAUAAUAUUUUGAACUGCAUAGUUCGAAAUUGAAAGGCGGCUUCGGCUGUCACUUAUGGAUGGACCCGCGUCGCAUUAGCUAGUUGGUGAGGUAACGGCUCACCAAGGCGACGAUGCGUAGCCGACCUGAGAGGGUGAUCGGCCACACUGGGACUGAGACACGGCCCAGACUCCUACGGGAGGCAGCAGUAGGGAAUCUUCCGCAAUGGACGAAAGUCUGACGGAGCAACGCCGCGUGAGUGAUGAAGGCUUUCGGGUCGUAAAACUCUGUUGUUAGGGAAGAACAAGUGCUAGUUGAAUAAGCUGGCACCUUGACGGUACCUAACCAGAAAGCCACGGCUAACUACGUGCCAGCAGCCGCGGUAAUACGUAGGUGGCAAGCGUUAUCCGGAAUUAUUGGGCGUAAAGCGCGCGCAGGUGGUUUCUUAAGUCUGAUGUGAAAGCCCACGGCUCAACCGUGGAGGGUCAUUGGAAACUGGGAGACUUGAGUGCAGAAGAGGAAAGUGGAAUUCCAUGUGUAGCGGUGAAAUGCGUAGAGAUAUGGAGGAACACCAG
RNAcentral lists this ribosomal RNA (675 nucleotides) under Bacillus sp. AT-MI-26. RNAcentral describes it as "bacterial SSU rRNA". It matches the Rfam family "Bacterial small subunit ribosomal RNA", at positions 56 to 712 of the family's 1533-position model. The record is from RNAcentral. Lineage: Bacteria; Bacillati; Bacillota; Bacilli; Caryophanales; Bacillaceae.